AUGCACUGUGGCUCAAGCCUUUCCUACACCUCUCGGUCCUCAAAGACCAGCUGGCGCUGGUUUCUGACUCAUCGACAAUCACACACACACAGGCACGCGCGCGCGCACACACACACACACACACACACACACACACACACACACACACGCAGGCACCCGGACGCCCGCUCCUGGAGACCUGGAGUUUGCAGAGCCGGAGGGGUGGUUGGCUCUCGGCAAAUCUGGAGCCAGCACGCGAAGGCACGGAGAGCACCCGAACCCCACCAGACAAGGCAGGGUGGCCUGGAGAAAGCACCCAGCGCCGGCCUCGGGCAGCGGGGCCCCCCUCGAGCUGCCCAAACCCGGCGCUCGCCCGACCACCUCGGCAGUUCCUCCAAGUUUCUACUCACAGCGGGGCCUCCGCUUUCCCAGCUGCCUCACCCUGAACCUCCAACUUCGUGCCCCCGGGCCGCCCCCCGCCCCUCCGCCUUCCUUAGCUCCGCGCCCGGUCAGGGACCCGCGCGCUUCCCUGGAGCUGCCCAUAUGCCCCCACCCGCGGCGGCGGCCCGGCAGUCUGGCCAGAGCUCGCCGCCGUCUCCCGCUGCUGCUGCCGCGGCGACAGGAGCCUCUGUGAGGCUCCCGGGCCCCUCUUAUGUAUUAUUCACUCGAUGGCCACGGCGCUUUCUGGAAAGCCCAUGCCAGAGACGCGAGGUCUUCGCCCGGAGACUACGAAUUCGGCGAUUUCAGCUUUUUGGAAACUGGGGGUGCUGCGGGGGCGGCGGAGCUCAUUUUUCAGUUGUUUUGCUUUGCGGGGUUGGCUUUUUUUUUUUUUUUUUUGCCCGGAGCUCGCAGGAGCGCGCUGUCCCCCGGGCCCAAGAAGGAGCGCGCCAGAGCCGGCGAGUGCGGCGGGCAGCCGGGCUAGCCGCCGUGGCUGGCGAGCGAGCUGGUAAGAAGAGACGCCCCAGUGGCCGGGAGAGACGGGCAGAACGAGUUCUUUUCCUCGACGCCCCCGCCCCGGCACCCGCCCCUCCGGCCCGCUCCCCCGGCAGCUCUCGCUCUGCGGGCCCGGGAAUCCCCCACACCCCGGACCGCCCACCGAGUUGCUGCUGCCUUUCACCGUUGCUCCUCCACCUCGCCUCCCGCCCUAACUUUCCCCAGCCUGGACUCGUGCGCGUACACACAGACAGACAGACAUACAUACACAACACACACACCCCCUCUCCCCUCCCUCGACUCCAGCUCCACUUCCCCGUGUAG
This 1236-nucleotide long non-coding RNA is filed under the name Bos indicus x Bos taurus (hybrid cattle). RNAcentral's name for it is "lncRNA (ENSBIXG00005000151.1)". The record is from RNAcentral. Lineage: Eukaryota; Metazoa; Chordata; Mammalia; Artiodactyla; Bovidae.